AGUGAACGCUGGCGGUAGGCCUAACACAUUCAAGUCGAACGGCAGCACAGUAAGAGCUUGCUCUUACGGGUGGCGAGUGGCGGACGGGUGAGGAAUACAUCGGAAUCUACUUUUUCGUGGGGGAUAACGUAGGGAAACUUACGCUAAUACCGCAUACGACCUACGGGUGAAAGCAGGGGAUCUUCGUACCUUGCGCGAUUGAAUGAGCCGAUGUCGGAUUAGCUAGUUGGCGGGGUAAAGGCCCACCAAGGCGACGAUCCGUAGCUGGUCUGAGAGGAUGAUCAGCCACACUGGAACUGAGACACGGUCCAGACUCCUACGGGAGGCAGCAGUGGGGAAUAUUGGACAAUGGGCGCAAGCCUGAUCCAGCCAUACCGCGUGGGUGAAGAAGGCCUUCGGGUUGUAAAGCCCUUUUGUUGGGAAAGAAAAGCAGCAGGUUAAUACACCGCUGUUAUGACGGUACCAAAAGAAUAAGCACCGGCUAACUUCGUG
This 492-nucleotide ribosomal RNA is filed under the name uncultured bacterium. Its description in RNAcentral is "partial 16S ribosomal RNA". It matches the Rfam family "Bacterial small subunit ribosomal RNA", at positions 29 to 507 of the family's 1533-position model. The record is from RNAcentral.